ACUACAACAACAGAGCCCGCCGAGCUCGGUAACGCGGGCUUGUGACCCAAGUGGGGGCACUAAGGUGUUGGGAUAUUGUGCUGGUUCAGAUGGUGGGACUUGAUGGUAUUAAAUACUGGCCCACCCUAUCCAAGCCGAGAGUUAGGCCUUGAGGUUUGAGCGAAAGCUUGGGUCUCAUGGCUCUUAGAGAGGAGGGCAAUGCGUCAGGCUGGUUCCACAGAGCAGCGAGAACUUCCCGCUCUCGGCAGUGGAAGGAUAAUGGGCCGGUGCACUUCAAGUCCAUCAUUACCUGAAGGGCCUGCUCGACUUAGACCAACACCCUUUUUUGUAUUUUUUUUCCUUGCAGUCUCUGCAACCUAAUUACUGUAGAAGGAUUACAAUAUUUGUAAUUUCAAAGUAAAAAUGUCUUAGAGAUAAUGGAUCUUGAUUAUAUAUGUUAGUUCAGA
Molecule: long non-coding RNA, 446 nt
Filed under: Olea europaea subsp. europaea
Lineage: Eukaryota; Viridiplantae; Streptophyta; Magnoliopsida; Lamiales; Oleaceae
Rfam family: Plant signal recognition particle RNA (bases 19-323)
Source: RNAcentral